Molecule: ribosomal RNA, 465 nt
Filed under: Vreelandella stevensii
Lineage: Bacteria; Pseudomonadati; Pseudomonadota; Gammaproteobacteria; Oceanospirillales; Halomonadaceae
Description: partial 16S ribosomal RNA
Rfam family: Bacterial small subunit ribosomal RNA
Source: RNAcentral
CCUACGGUCGGCAGCAGUGGGGAAUAUUGGACAAUGGGCGAAAGCCUGAUCCAGCCAUGCCGCGUGUGUGAAGAAGGCCUUCGGGUUGUAAAGCACUUUCAGUGGGGAAGAAAGCCUUGGGGCUAAUACCCUCGAGGAAGGACAUCACCAACAGAAGAAGCACCGGCUAACUCCGUGCCAGCAGCCGCGGUAAUACGGAGGGUGCGAGCGUUAAUCGGAAUUACUGGGCGUAAAGCGCGCGUAGGCGGUCUGAUAAGCCGGUUGUGAAAGCCCCGGGCUCAACCUGGGAACGGCAUCCGGAACUGUCAGGCUAGAGUGCAGGAGAGGAAGGUAGAAUUCCCGGUGUAGCGGUGAAAUGCGUAGAGAUCGGGAGGAAUACCAGUGGCGAAGGCGGCCUUCUGGACUGACACUGACGCUGAGGUGCGAAAGCGUGGGUAGCAAACAGGAUUAGAUACCCGGGUAGUC